This 808-nucleotide ribosomal RNA is filed under the name uncultured Spartobacteria bacterium. RNAcentral describes it as "bacterial SSU rRNA". It matches the Rfam family "Bacterial small subunit ribosomal RNA", at positions 8 to 796 of the family's 1533-position model. The record is from RNAcentral. Lineage: Bacteria; Pseudomonadati; Verrucomicrobiota; Spartobacteria.
AGAGUUUGAUCCUGGCUCAGAACGAACGCUGGCGGCGUGGAUAAGACAUGCAAGUCGAACGGGAUAACAUCUGUAGCAAUACAGGUGUUAUUUAGUGGCGAACGGGUGCGUAACACGUGGGGAAUCUGCCGAGAAGUGGGGGAUAGCUCGCCGAAAGGCGAAUUAAUACCGCAUAUGGUCAGUGAAGACAUCUUCACAACACCAAAGCCGGGGCAACCUGGCGCUUCUUGAUGACCCCGCGGCCUAUCAGCUAGUUGGUGAGGUAAUGGCUCACCAAGGCUAUGACGGGUAGCUGGUCUGAGAGGACGACCAGUCACACUGGAACUGAGACACGGUCCAGACACCUACGGGUGGCAGCAGUCGAGAAUUUUUCACAAUGGGGGCAACCCUGAUGGAGCGACGCCGCGUGGAGGAUGAAGGCUUUCGGGUUGUAAACUCCUGUCAUUUGAGAACAAGGUGCAUCGAUUAACUGUCGAUGCAUUGAUAGUAUCAGAAGAGGAAGAGACGGCUAACUCUGUGCCAGCAGCCGCGGUAAUACAGAGGUCUCAAGCGUUGUUCGGAUUCAUUGGGCGUAAAGGGUGCGUAGGUGGCGGGGUAAGUCAGGUGUGAAAUUUCGGAGCUCAACUCCGAAACUGCAUUUGAUACUGCCUUGCUUGAGGACUGGAGAGGAGACUGGAAUUCACGGUGUAGCAGUGAAAUGCGUAGAUAUCGUGAGGAAGACCAGUGGCGAAGGCGGGUCUCUGGACAGAUCCUGACACUGAGGCACGAAGGCCAGGGGAGCAAACGGGAUUAGAUACCCUCGUAGUCC